GAUGAAGAACGUAGCAAAAUGCGAUAAGUAAUGUGAAUUGCAGAAUUCAGUGAAUCAUCGAAUCUUUGAACGCACAUUGCGCCCGCCAGUAUUCUGGCGGGCAUGCCUGUUCGAGCGUCAUUUCAACCCUCAAGCACAGCUUGGUGUUGGGACUCGCGUUAAUUCGCGUUCCUCAAAUUGAUUGGCGGUCACGUCGAGCUUCCAUAGCGUAGUAGUAAAACCCUCGUUACUGGUAAUCGUCGCGGCCACGCCGUUAAACCCCAACUUCUGAAUGUUGACCUCGGAUCAGGUAGGAAUACCCGCUGAACUUAAGCAUAUCAAUAAGCGGAGGGA
RNAcentral lists this unclassified non-coding RNA (333 nucleotides) under soil metagenome. RNAcentral's name for it is "partial contains 5.8S ribosomal RNA, internal transcribed spacer 2, and large subunit ribosomal RNA". The stretch from base 1 to 120 matches the Rfam family "5.8S ribosomal RNA", at positions 35 to 154 of the family's 154-position model. The record is from RNAcentral.